AUUGAACGCUGGCGGCAUGCUUUACACAUGCAAGUCGAACGGUAACAGGCCGCAAGGUGCUGACGAGUGGCGAACGGGUGAGUAAUGCAUCGGAACGUGCCCAGUCGUGGGGGAUAACUACUCGAAAGAGUAGCUAAUACCGCAUACGAUCUAUGGAUGAAAGCGGGGGACCGUAAGGCCUCGCGCGAUUGGAGCGGCCGAUGUCAGAUUAGGUAGUUGGUGGGGUAAAGGCUCACCAAGCCAACGAUCUGUAGCUGGUCUGAGAGGACGACCAGCCACACUGGGACUGAGACACGGCCCAGACUCCUACGGGAGGCAGCAGUGGGGAAUUUUGGACAAUGGGCGCAGGCCUGAUCCAGCAAUGCCGCGUGCAGGAAGAAGGCCUUCGGGUUGUAAACUGCUUUUGUGCGGAACGAAACGGCUCUGGUUAAUACCCGGGGCUAAUGACGGUACCGUAAGAAUAAGCACCGGCUAACUACGUG
RNAcentral lists this ribosomal RNA (482 nucleotides) under uncultured bacterium. RNAcentral describes it as "partial 16S ribosomal RNA". It matches the Rfam family "Bacterial small subunit ribosomal RNA", at positions 30 to 507 of the family's 1533-position model. The record is from RNAcentral.